GAGUAAUAUAUAGUUAAUGUGCCUCGAAGACUGGGAUAGCCACUGGAAACGGUGAUUAAUACUAGAUAUACCUUUCUAACAAAAGUUAGAAUGGGAAACGUUUUUUCGCUUCGAGAUCAGACUAUAUCCUAUCAGUUAGUUGGUGAGGUAAGAGCUCACCAAGGCAAUGACGGGUAGCGGGUUUGAGAGGAUGAUCCGCCACACUGGUACUGAGACACGGACCAG
This 225-nucleotide ribosomal RNA is filed under the name uncultured bacterium. Its description in RNAcentral is "partial 16S ribosomal RNA". It matches the Rfam family "Bacterial small subunit ribosomal RNA", at positions 108 to 334 of the family's 1533-position model. The record is from RNAcentral.